CAGACGGCUCAGUAACACGUAGUCAACCUAACCUGUGGACGUGGAUAAUCUCGGGAAACUGAGGAUAAACCACGAUAGAUAACGGUGCCUGGAAUGGCCCAUUGUCCAAACAGUUUACUGCCACGGGAUGGGACUGCGGCCUAUCAGCUUGUUGGUGAGGUAAUGGCCCACCAAGGCUAUAACAGGUACGGGCUCUGAGAGGAGAAGCCCGGAGAUGGGUACUGAGACACGGACCCAGGCCCUAUGGGGCGCAGCAGGCGAGAAACCUUAGCAAUGUGCGAAAGCACGACUGGGUCAGUCCGAGUGAUUUCUGAUAAAGGAAUCUUUUGCCCGUCCUAAAAGCACGGGCGAAUAAGGGGUGGGCAAGUCUGGUGUCAGCCGCCGCGGUAAUACCAGCUCCUCGAGUGGUCGGGACGAUUAUUGGGCCUAAAGCACCCGUAGCCGGUUCCGUAAGUCCUCUGUUAAAUCCAGUCGCUCAACGGCUGGUCUGCAGAGGAUACUGCAGGACUAGGAGGCGGGAGAGGCGGACGGUACUCCGCGUGUAGGGGUAAAAUCCUUUGAUCCGCGGAAGACCACCAGUGGCGAAGGCGGUCCGCCAGAACGCGCUCGACGGUGAGGGGUGAAAGCUGGGGGAGCGAACC
RNAcentral lists this ribosomal RNA (641 nucleotides) under uncultured archaeon. RNAcentral's name for it is "bacterial SSU rRNA". It matches the Rfam family "Archaeal small subunit ribosomal RNA", at positions 82 to 725 of the family's 1478-position model. The record is from RNAcentral.